CCUACGGGAGGCUGCAGUAGGGAAUAUUGCUCAAUGGGGGAAACCCUGAAGCAGCAACGCCGCGUGGAGGAUGAAGGUUUUCGGAUUGUAAACUCCUUUUGUUAGAGAAGAUAAUGACGGUAUCUAACGAAUAAGCACCGGCUAACUCCGUGCCAGCAGCCGCGGUAAUACGGAGGGUGCAAGCGUUACUCGGAAUCACUGGGCGUAAAGAGCGCGUAGGCGGGAUAGCAAGUCAGAUGUGAAAUCCUAGGGCUUAACCAUAGAACUGCAUUUGAAACUGUUAUUCUAGAGUAUGGGAGAGGUAGGUGGAAUUCUUGGUGGAGGGGUGAAAUCCGUAGAGAUCAAGAGGAAUACUCAUUGCGAAGGCGACCUGCUAGAACAUAACUGACGCUGAUGCGCGAAAGCGUGGGGAGCAAACAGGAUUAGAUACCCCAGUAGUC
RNAcentral lists this ribosomal RNA (440 nucleotides) under uncultured bacterium. Its description in RNAcentral is "partial 16S ribosomal RNA". It matches the Rfam family "Bacterial small subunit ribosomal RNA", at positions 338 to 795 of the family's 1533-position model. The record is from RNAcentral.